Molecule: ribosomal RNA, 253 nt
Filed under: uncultured bacterium
Lineage: Bacteria
Description: partial 16S ribosomal RNA
Rfam family: Bacterial small subunit ribosomal RNA
Source: RNAcentral
GACGUAGGGCGCGAGCGUUGUCCGGAAUUAUUGGGCGUAAAGAGCUCGUAGGCGGCUUGUCACGUCGGUUGUGAAAGCCCGGGGCUUAACCCCGGGUCUGCAGUCGAUACGGGCUAGCUAGAGUGUGGUAGGGGAGAUCGGAAUUCCUGGUGUAGCGGUGAAAUGCGCAGAUAUCAGGAGGAACACCGGUGGCGAAGGCGGAUCUCUGGGCCAUUACUGACGCUGAGGAGCGAAAGCGUGGGGAGCGAACAGG